AGAGUUUGAUCCUGGCUCAGAGUGAACGCUAGCGGUGCGCCUAACACAUGCAAGUCGCGCGAGGAGCAAUCCUAGCGGCGGACGGCUGCGUAACACGUUGGAAUCUACCCCAAACUCAGGGAUAACCUGUCGAAAGACGGGCUAAUACCGGAUGGUCUCGUAAGAGUAAAGCUUCGGCGGUUUGGGAGGAGCCUGCGGCCUAUCAGUUAGUUGGUGAGGUAACGGCUCACCAAGACAAUGACGGGUAGCUGAUCUGAGAGGAUGAUCAGCCAGAAUGGAACUGAGACACGGUCCAUACUCCUACGGGAGGCAGCAGUGAGGAAUCUUCCGCAAUGGGCGAAAGCCUGACGGAGCGACACCGCGUGAAGGAUGAAGGCCUUUUAGGUCGUAAACUUCUGUUCUGAGGGAAGAAAUUUUUGACGGUACCUCAGGAGAAAGCAUCGGCUAACCCUGUGCCAGCAGCCGCGGUAAGACAGGGGAUGCAAGCGUUACUCGGAAUUACUGGGCGUAAAGCGUCUGUAGGUGUCUCAUUAAGUCUGGGGUUAAAGUUCGGAGCUCAACUCCGUGAUUGUCCCGGAAACUGACGAGAUUGAGUUAUCCAGAGGCACCUGGAAUGCCAUAAGUAGGGGUAAAAUCCGUAGAUAUAUGGUAGAACGCCAAAAGCGAAGGCAGGGUGCUGGGGAUACACUGACACUGAGAGACGAAAGCGUGGGGAGCAAAGGGGAUUAGAUACCCCCGUAGUCCACGCCCUAAACGAUGCGUGCUCGAUGUGGGAGAUUUUCAAUUGUCUUCCGUGUCUAAGCUAACGCGGUAAGCACGCCGCCUGGGAAGUACGGUCGCAAGACUAAAACUCAAAGGAAUAGACGGGGACCCACACAAUCGGUGGAGCAUGGGGUUUAAUUCGAUAAUAAGCGAAGCACCUCACCCAGGUUUGACAUCUUAGGAAUCCGGUCGAAAGAUCGGAGUGCCGCAAGGAACCUAAAGACAGGCGCUGCACGGUCGUCGUCAGCUCGUGCCUUGAGGUGUGUUGUUCAGUCAAUGAACGAGCGCAACCCUGGUCCUGUGUUGUAUUUUUCACGGGAGACUGCCGGCUCCAAGCCGGAGGAAGGUCAGGAUGACGUCAGAUCAGCGUGGCCCUUAUACCUGGGGCAACACCCGUGCUACAAUGGUUGGUACAGAGCGCAGCAAACCCGCGAGGGCUAGCCAAUCGCAUAAAACCAAUCUCAGUCCGGAUUGAAGUCUGCAACUCGACUUCAUGAAGUUGGAAUCGCUAGUAACCGUGAAUCAGCUACGUCACGGUGAAUAUGUUCCUGGGUCUUGUACUCACCGCCCGUCAAGUCAUGAAAGGCAGGGGCACCCGAAGCACCUUUACCGCAAGGGAGGUACCACGGUGAAACUGCUGAUUGGGACUAAGUCGUAACAAGGUA
This 1427-nucleotide ribosomal RNA is filed under the name metagenome. RNAcentral's name for it is "bacterial SSU rRNA". It matches the Rfam family "Bacterial small subunit ribosomal RNA". The record is from RNAcentral.